Molecule: long non-coding RNA, 1755 nt
Filed under: Trifolium pratense (red clover)
Lineage: Eukaryota; Viridiplantae; Streptophyta; Magnoliopsida; Fabales; Fabaceae
Description: long non-coding RNA (TPRA_LNC004363)
Source: RNAcentral
AUAAUGUGGUCCCAGAUGUUUGAACAACAAUUCUAGGUUCAUAUAAUUUUUAUUUUGACUAAAAGAUUCAUUUUAAUUGUUAUAAUUAUAAGACAAUCUGUUUCUUUCAAUCAAAUGGGUCAGCAUGCACAUGUAUUGUUGGUUGUUGGUUGUUUCUUGAUCUGAUAUUUGCUUGCUCAAUUUUUUUUUUCUUUCAAAUAUUCUAAUAAUUAGAAAAUUUAUCUUAAACGUGAAUAAAUGAAGUGUUUGAAAUUUGAACCAACUUUUGUAUAUAUAGUGUAAUAUUUCUGCCUCUUGAAUUAAUAUUAUGAGGACAAAUAUUUGGUCUUUUAGUCACUAAAAAUCAGUUACUAUUGAGUUUAGUUUUUAUCCAUUUUUUUUUGUCAAGUAGCCUAAUGACUAGAAAUUCCACCUUAUAGGUGAAUAAGUGGAGUGUCAGGGUUUGAACCCCGACUCCUACAUAUACAAUGUGAUGUUCAUACUAACCGAGUUAAGCUCACGGGGACCAUCUUUAUCCAUUUUUAAUCUUCAUAGUUUUAAUAUAUUUUAUCCUCACAUUUUUUUUGAGGUAUAUUCUCUUAAUUAACUAGUUAAUUUAUUUUUAAAAAAUAUUACAAAUUUAAUCUUCAACUAUAACUUUGUUGUUAAAAAUUACUUUCUUUAUUUUUUUUUAUAAAUAAAAGAGUACCUAGUAGAAAAGAGUAUACCUUUAUUAAAAAAAAGAUGUUAUAUCUGAAAAGGGUUGUAAUACAGCUAAGACAAAUAUUCAUUAAAUUUGGCUUUAUAUAUUCGAUUAUAGUUCUCAAUCUCUUUCAACUUUUGUCUUCACAAUUAAGUUUGAAUUUUCAAUCCAUGAACAUUCCAUGAUGGUUCCUAAUUUCCUUCAAUCAUGCAUGGCUCCCUAUCCAUUAUAGCCACACCCUUGCAUGACAUUUCUAUAUUAAUUCAUUUAAUUCUAAAGUUCCCCUCCCUUUCACAUUAAAAUCUUUAGUCCACCUAUGAUUAUCUUAUGUCAUAUAAAACAUCUUAGAAACAUAUAUCAUCAUUAGUCCAAAAAAAACAAAACUAAUAUCAUCUCAUUGUUUAGUUAUUAAUUAGUAUAACUAAAACCAAAAGUCCAAUCUUAUAUAUCUCAUUAGUCAAAAAAAUCUUAUAUAUCUCAUGUCAUACAUGCAUAUCUUACUUCUCUAAUUGUCCUAUAUUGUAGAUGGUUCUUUCCACUUUAUCAAAUCUUAGACUAACCAAAUAAUAUAUAUUUACACAUAUUUAAUUUGUUGAAAAAAUUAAUUUUAAACUUGAAAAGAAUUAUUUUAGGCAUGUUAAAUUUUUAGUGUCUUUAUUUUUUUAUAUUUAAUUAAAGUGGUAUUAGUAUUAGAAGCAUGUCUUUGAAGUUUCUAACAACAAAAAGAGUAUUUAAUUUCAAUUAAUACUUUAAUUAAUUAAUAUAUGUUUAGAAGAUAAGGUCUUCUUUAUAUCUGUCCAAAAAAAUCAUGUCUAUGUCAACAAUAAUUGACACAAAGUCCUUUUGGUGCUGUAGUUGUACACUUGUACUAUGGACUUAUCUCAUCAUCAUGUCCUCUCAAGUUUCAACUUGUCCUUAGAAAAAGUUUAGUUUAUUGAUGACAAAUUUAAUAGUCAUGCUAGAUUUUAAAUGUGGAGGUUAAUUUGCCACCAAAAUUUGUGUUCUAUUUACUCAAAACUAACCAACUCAACUGUUUUGGUACCUAUAUUUGAAUUCAUUUAACCACCAUAGUU